UACGUAGGGUGCAAGCGUUGUCCGGAAUUAUUGGGCGUAAAGAGCUCGUAGGCGGUUUGUUGCGUCGGCUGUGAAAUCCCGAGGCUCAACCUCGGGUCUGCAGUCGAUACGAGCAAACUAGAGUGCUGCAGGGGAGACUGGAAUUCCUGGUGUAGCGGUGAAAUGCGCAGAUAUCAGGAGGAACACCGGUGGCGAAGGCGGCUGACUGGACACAUAUUGACGCUGAGGCUCGAAAGCAUGGGGAGCAAACAGG
This 253-nucleotide ribosomal RNA is filed under the name uncultured bacterium. RNAcentral's name for it is "partial 16S ribosomal RNA". It matches the Rfam family "Bacterial small subunit ribosomal RNA", at positions 524 to 776 of the family's 1533-position model. The record is from RNAcentral.